This is a non-coding RNA of Lonchura striata (white-rumped munia), 800 nucleotides long. NCBI's taxonomy places the organism in Eukaryota, Metazoa, Chordata, Aves, Passeriformes, Estrildidae. The record is from RefSeq and is a predicted model, not a curated record.
CUCAGGUUUAGCUGGUGGAUCAUAUUGUGAAAACUGCAGCCAUGAAAGGCCCUCCAUUUACUGCACCCUUCAAAACAAAAUGUUAGCAUGGGAGGCUAAGCUGGAGGCUAAUAACGAGGGAGUCAGUGAAGGAGACCAAUGCCACAAGGGUUAUCUCGCAGCCCCAGAUGCUGGAUAAGUUGAAGGAGGCAGAAUCGCUUUUGGAUGACAUUCAGGAAGGCCUUGAAUUAUUAUCUGGUGAAGAAAAGACUAUUCUUUUCAAGGUUUUUUUCCCUAGAUGCAGCAAUGAUCUAUUAGGUAUCCUUUUUGAGACAAAGGAUCCACUCCACCUCCAACCUAAGGAAAUGCUUUGAAGGAAUUGACAAGCUCACUUUUAAUCACAAGAGAGAAAUUACCCACAUGGAGUCAGCAGAAAAUGAAAAAGUACAGCUCGUGCUGCGAAUAAUUCCAGCAAGUGCCAAGGGGCUAGUUGAGAAAUGGCUUCAUGAGGUGAAUAUCUUUAGCUCUUACUUAGGGUUUGGUUACUGUAUGAUCAUUUUCUCUUUUAGGAGCAAUGAAUAUUAUAAGUGGAUACUAAAUAGCUCUCUGAAUAUUUGUCAAGAUGUUGACAGAUUUCAGCCUUAUUGUUGUUAUUUAUUGCAACUAAUUUAGCAUCUGCAAAUGUGCAGAAAUUAAUUCUAAUAAAAAUCUGUCUUGAAUCAGGCUGUUAGCAGAAGUUGGUCUGUGUCUGAAACCAUAUGUGUGAAUAUAUGUUUGAGUCUACAUGUAUGUGUUUUUGUGCUUUCAUGGUGUAAUGUCUG